This is a long non-coding RNA of Periophthalmus magnuspinnatus, 252 nucleotides long. RefSeq lists it as uncharacterized. The record is from RefSeq and is a predicted model, not a curated record. The transcript is spliced from 3 exons. Lineage: Eukaryota; Metazoa; Chordata; Actinopteri; Gobiiformes; Gobiidae.
CAGGGUCUUGACAACUGCACAAUAAGAAACUGUUCUGAGCCAUUGAAAGUAGAGAGCCAGCGGGCACCAGCUGGGCCAGAGUGGGGUAGUGCACUGAUGGGGGUCGUCCUGGACAGAGAGCAAUUUAUACCCAUUUUAAAUGUGUCAUGGAGGAUAGCAGCCACUGGUACUAUAUUGGUUCUUAAAGGAUCACAAAUACUUGUUCGUGACGAAAAAAGUAAUGUGGCCAUGUGUUGGGAGUAUUUCUACAAC